RNAcentral lists this ribosomal RNA (441 nucleotides) under uncultured Anaerolineaceae bacterium. RNAcentral's name for it is "partial 16S ribosomal RNA". Lineage: Bacteria; Bacillati; Chloroflexota; Anaerolineae; Anaerolineales; Anaerolineaceae. The record is from RNAcentral.
GACUACAGGGGUAUCUAAUCCCGUUUGCUACCCUAGCUUUCGCGUCUGAGCGUCAGUAUCGGUCCAGAAAAUCGCUUUCGCCACUGGUGUUCCUCCGGAUAUCUACGCAUUUCACCACUACACCCGGAAUUCCAUUUUCCUCUACCAAACUCUAGUCAGGAAGUUUUGAACGACCUCUCCCAGUUAAGCCGGGAGCUUUCACAUCCAACUCUCCUAACCGCCUACACGCGCUUUACGCCCAGUAAAUCCGAAUAACGCUCGCAUCCUACGUGUUACCGCGGCUGCUGGCACGUAGUUAGCCGAUGCUUAUUCCAAGGGUACCGUCCUUCCUCUUUCCCUUGAAAAGAGUUUUACGACCCGAAGGCCUUCUUCACUCACGCGGCGUUGCUGCAUCAGGCUUUCGCCCAUUGUGCAAUAUUCCCUACUGCAGCCCCCCGUAGG